Polypterus senegalus (gray bichir) is the source of this 994-nucleotide long non-coding RNA. RefSeq lists it as uncharacterized. The transcript has 5 exons. The record is from RefSeq and is a predicted model, not a curated record. NCBI's taxonomy places the organism in Eukaryota, Metazoa, Chordata, Cladistia, Polypteriformes, Polypteridae.
UAGAGGCUGGGUUUGAUUCAAAGAUUAAAUAUUUUUUCAUGAAGGGUUUGUAUUUCCUUCUUAUAUUGGAUUCCUCCUCAAGUGCUGGUUUCCAUCCCCAGUCCCAAAACAAGUAAGCAUCCCUGCCUUGCUGUAAUUGCGGUAGUGAUAGAAACUGUCCACCCAUGGGCAUGAAUUGAAUAAGCAGGUUAAAGAAAAUGGAUGGAUGCUAACAGGAAAGAAGAUAAACAUAACCACAGUUAGCUGAUAUUGAAUAGGAAUAUCGAAGGCUGGGUGCAUCCAUCUAUUGUCUUGGCCAAGUAACAGGACUGGCAGUUGGAGUCACUUUUACCGGCACCCUCAGAUGCUGGCGACUCUCUCAGUGCACCUCCUGUAUCAACCCUCAUACUUCACUGAAAGAAAGAAAAAGGGAGUUUGGCAACACUGCUCGUAUCCAGCGCUGAAUGAGUGUAGUCGCCAACACUUCUAUACAACAUGUAACUCUUAUUCCCGAGUUAUUCGUUGGAGUGUAGCAGACCGUUAAACAUGACAGCUCCAUUGUCGAUCUGCACCAAGGAGGAAAUUAAGGGCAGCGAUUCAAUUUUUGUUUGCGGAAGGUGUUAAACCUGCGGACAUUAUUCGUCGAAUGCGAGCACAGUAUGUUGACAACUGUUUAUCGCGAAGCAAGAUCUACGAAUGGAUAGAGCGCUUCAAACAGGGAAGAACUUCUUUAUGUGACGAAGAAAGAUCGGGCAGGCCAUCAACGUCAACCAGUGAGGACAAUGUGAUAGUCGUUGAUUCCAAAAUUGGUUGCAGAUGCAACCGAAAAACUUUUUUUCCAACGGAAUCAAAAAACUUGUGAAAAAUAAGCUUCUUCACCUGGACGCCGGUGUUCACCUAUAUCAGUGAGCUGAAUGCCUCUCGGAGAUGCAAAUGCACACGCCGCCACCGUGGAAGAAGAGCCGGUACUGUUGUUAAACAACGCUGACUCAAGUCCCAGAGCUUGGAUUCCCGA